This 17-nucleotide microRNA is filed under the name Macrophomina phaseolina MS6. RNAcentral describes it as "miR-4516". The record is from RNAcentral. Lineage: Eukaryota; Fungi; Ascomycota; Dothideomycetes; Botryosphaeriales; Botryosphaeriaceae.
GGGAGGAGGGUCGGGGU